This 734-nucleotide ribosomal RNA is filed under the name uncultured Bacilli bacterium. RNAcentral describes it as "bacterial SSU rRNA". It matches the Rfam family "Bacterial small subunit ribosomal RNA", at positions 28 to 722 of the family's 1533-position model. Lineage: Bacteria; Bacillati; Bacillota; Bacilli. The record is from RNAcentral.
GACGAACGCUGGCGGCGUGCCUAAUACAUGCAAGUCGAGCGAGCUUGCCUAGAUGAUUUUAGUGCUUGCACUAAAUGAAACUAGAUACAAGCGAGCGGCGGACGGGUGAGUAACACGUGGGUAACCUGCCCAAGAGACUGGGAUAACACCUGGAAACAGAUGCUAAUACCGGAUAACAACACUAGACGCAUGUCUAGAGUUUGAAAGAUGGUUCUGCUAUCACUCUUGGAUGGACCUGCGGUGCAUUAGCUAGUUGGUAAGGUAAUGGCUUACCAAGGCGAUGAUGCAUAGCCGAGUUGAGAGACUGAUCGGCCACAUUGGGACUGAGACACGGCCCAAACUCCUACGGGAGGCAGCAGUAGGGAAUCUUCCACAAUGGACGAAAGUCUGAUGGAGCAACGCCGCGUGAGUGAAGAAGGGUUUCGGCUCGUAAAGCUCUGUUGGUAGUGAAGAAAGAUAGAGGUAGUAACUGGCCUUUAUUUGACGGUAAUUACUUAGAAAGUCACGGCUAACUACGUGCCAGCAGCCGCGGUAAUACGUAGGUGGCAAGCGUUGUCCGGAUUUAUUGGGCGUAAAGCGAGUGCAGGCGGUUCAAUAAGUCUGAUGUGAAAGCCUUCGGCUCAACCGGAGAAUUGCAUCAGAAACUGUUGAACUUGAGCGCAGAAGAGGAGAGUGGAACUCCAUGUGUAGCGGUGGAAUGCGUAGAUAUAUGGAAGAACACCAGUGGCGAAGGC